UACAGAGGGUGCGAGCGUUGUCCGGAAUCACUGGGCGUAAAGGGCGCGUAGGCGGCCUGGUUAGUAGGGGGUGAAAUCUUGCGGCUCAACUGCAAGGCUGCCUCCUAAACUGCCGGGCUGGAGCACGGUAGAGGCAGAUGGAAUUCCCGGUGUAGCGGUGGAAUGCGUAGAGAUCGGGAAGAACAUCGGUGGCGAAGGCGGUCUGCUGGGCCGUUGCUGACGCUGAGGCGCGACAGCGUGGGGAGCAAACAGG
Molecule: ribosomal RNA, 253 nt
Filed under: uncultured prokaryote
Description: partial 16S ribosomal RNA
Rfam family: Bacterial small subunit ribosomal RNA
Source: RNAcentral